RNAcentral lists this ribosomal RNA (418 nucleotides) under uncultured bacterium. Its description in RNAcentral is "bacterial SSU rRNA". It matches the Rfam family "Bacterial small subunit ribosomal RNA", at positions 359 to 775 of the family's 1533-position model. The record is from RNAcentral.
GAAUAUUGGGCAAUGGACGGAAGUCUGACCCAGCCAUGCCGCGUGCAGGAAGAAGGCCUUCUGGGUUGUAAACUGCUUUUAUCUAGGAAGAAAAAGCCCAUGCGUGGGAAACUGACGGUACUAGAUGAAUAAGCACCGGCUAACUCCGUGCCAGCAGCCGCGGUAAUACGGAGGGUGCAAGCGUUGUCCGGAUUUAUUGGGUUUAAAGGGUGCGUAGGCGGCUUAUUAAGUCAGUGGUGAAAGCCAACAGCUCAACUGUAGAACUGCCAUUGAUACUGAUAAGCUUGAGUACAGACGAGGUAGGCGGAAUUGAAGAUGUAGCGGUGAAAUGCAUAGAUAUCUUCAAGAACACCGAUUGCGUAGGCAGCUUACUAGGCUGUAACUGACGCUGAGGCACGAAAGCGUGGGGAGCGAACAG